CCGCGUAUAUACAAGCGCCACCACGCUGCCUCCAUCCCUAGCCCUUCCGCCCGCUCGCCCGCCCGCGCCGCCGCCGCCGCCUCCUUCCGCAGGAGCUCCCUCCCCGCAGGCGCGAUGGUGUACAUCAAGAACCAGAAGACAAGGGCGUACUCCAAGCGUUUCCAAGUCAAGUUCAAGAGAAGGCGCCAGGGGAAGACCGACUACAGGGCCAGGCUGAGGCUCACAAACCAGGACAAGAACAAAUACAAUACCCCCAAGUACCGUUUUGUUGUGCGAUUUACCAACAAGGAUGUCACUGCACAAAUUGUGUAUGCUACCAUUGCUGGUGAUAUCGUGAUGGCCGCUGCCUACUCCCAUGAGUUGCCUCGCUAUGGUCUUGAAGUUGGCCUGACCAACUAUGCUGCAGCCUACUGCACUGGUCUCCUUUUGGCUCGUCGUGUGCUCAAGAACCGUGAUCUCGAUGAGGAGUAUGAAGGCAAUGUUGAGGCCACGGGUGAGGACUUCUCUGUUGAGCCUUCUGAUGAGAGGAGGCCUUUCCGUGCGCUCUUGGAUGUUGGUCUUAUUAGGACCACCACUGGAAACCGUGUGUUUGGUGCCCUUAAGGGAGCUUUGGAUGGCGGCCUUGACAUUCCACACAGUGACAAGAGAUUUGCUGGUUUCAAGAAGGAUGAAAAGUCGCUGGAUGCUGAGAUUCACCGCAAGUACAUCUUUGGAGGGCAUGUCGCUGACUACAUGAGGUCACUAGCAGAUGAGGAACCAGAGAAGUUCCAAACUCACUUCAGUGAGUACAUCAAGAGGGGAAUCUCAGCUGAUGACAUGGAAGCAGUUUACAAGAAGGUUCAUGCUGCCAUCCGUGCUGAUCCCACCAUGGCCAAAUCAACCAAGGCGCCUCCCAAGACUCACAAGAGGUACAACCCCAAGAAGCUGACCUAUGAGCAGAGGAAGGCCAGCCUCGUCGAAAGGCUCAACGCCCUCAACAACUCUGCCGGUGCCGCCGAUGACGACGAGGACGACGACGAGUGA
Molecule: ribosomal RNA, 1023 nt
Filed under: Triticum aestivum (bread wheat)
Lineage: Eukaryota; Viridiplantae; Streptophyta; Magnoliopsida; Poales; Poaceae
Description: partial small subunit ribosomal RNA
Source: RNAcentral